RNAcentral lists this ribosomal RNA (468 nucleotides) under uncultured bacterium. RNAcentral describes it as "partial 16S ribosomal RNA". It matches the Rfam family "Bacterial small subunit ribosomal RNA", at positions 28 to 507 of the family's 1533-position model. The record is from RNAcentral.
GACGAACGCUGGCGGCGUGCUUAACACAUGCAAGUCGAACGGAAAGGCCCUGCUUUUGUUGGUUGCUCGAUUGGCGAACGGGUGUGUAACACGUGAGUAACCUCCCCUUGACUUUCGGAUAACUUCAGGAAACUGGGGCUAAUACCCGAUAUGAGCUCCUGCUGCAUGGUGGUGGUUUGAAAGUUUCGGCGGUUGGGGAUGGACUCGCGGCUUAUCAGCUUGUUGGUGGGGUAGUGGCUUACCAAGGCUUUGACGGGUAGCCGGCCUGAGAGGGUGACCGGCCACAUUGGGACUGAGAUACGGCCCAGACUCCUACGGGAGGCAGCAGUGGGGAAUAUUGCACAAUGGGCGGAAGCCUGAUGCAGCAACGCCGCGUGCGGGAUGACGGCCUUCGGGUUGUAAACCGCUUUCGCCUGUGACGAAGAGUGAGUGACGGUAAUGGGUAAAGAAGCACCGGCUAACUACGUG